GAAGGAUGGUUCCGCCUCCCAUUAGCUUGUUGGUGGGGUAAUGGCCUACCAAGGCGACGAUGGGUAGCCGGCCUGAGAGGGUGUCCGGCCACACUGGGUCUGAGAUACGGCCCAGACUCCUACGGGAGGCGGCAGUCGAGAAGCUUCGGCAAUGGGCGAAAGCCUGACCGAGCGAUGCCGCGUGAGCGAAGAAGGUCCUUUGGAUUGUAAAGCUCUGUCAGAUUGGGAAGAAAACCUCGAGAUUAAUACCCUCGAGGCUUGACGGUACCAUCAGAGGAAGCACCGGCUAACUCCGUGCCAGCAGCCGCGGUAAUACGGAGGGUGCAAGCGUUGUUCGGAUUCACUGGGUAUAAAGGGUGCGCAGGCGGUUUGAUAAGUCAGAGGUGAAAUAUGUCGGCUCAACCGGCAAACGGCCCCUGAAACUGUCAAACUUGAGUCCGAGAGAGGUAGGUGGAAUUCCAGGUGUAGCGGUGAAAUGCGUAAAUAUCUGGAGGAACACCAGUGGCGAAGGCGGCCUACUGGCUCGGAACUGACGCUCAGGCACGAAAGCUAGGGGAGCGAACGGGAUUAGAUACCCCGGUAGUCCUAGCCGUAAACGAUGGCUACUAGGUGUUGGAGGAUUCUACCCCUUCAGUGCCGCAGCUAACGCAUUAAGUAGCCCACCUGGGGAGUACGAUCGCAAGGUUGAAACUCAAAGGAAUUGACGGGGGCCCGCACAAGCGGUGGAGCAUGUGGUUUAAUUCGAUGCAACGCGAAGAACCUUACCUAGGCUUGACAUGCAGGGGACAGAUGUAGAAAUACAUCCUUCUUCGGACCCCUGUACAGGUGCUGCAUGGCUGUCGUCAGCUCGUGUCGUGAAAUGUUAGGUUAAGUCCUGCAACGAGCGCAACCCCUGUCUUCAGUUGCCAUCAGGUAAUGCUGGGAACUCUGGAGAGACCGCCGGUGACAAACCGGAGGAAGGUGGGGACGACGUCAAGUCAUCAUGGCCCUUACGCCUAGGGCUACACACGUGCUACAAUGGUCGGUACAAAGGGCUGCAAUACAGCGAUGUGGAGCGAAUCCCAAAAAACCGGCCUCAGUUCGGAUUGUAGUCUGCAACUCGACUACAUGAAGUUGGAAUCGCUAGUAAUCGCGUAUCAGAACGACGCGGUGAAUACGUUCCCGGGCCUUGUACACACCGCCCGUCAAGUCAACCGAGUU
This 1200-nucleotide ribosomal RNA is filed under the name metagenome. Its description in RNAcentral is "bacterial SSU rRNA". It matches the Rfam family "Bacterial small subunit ribosomal RNA", at positions 220 to 1412 of the family's 1533-position model. The record is from RNAcentral.